UUGGGAGCUCUCCCAUAUGGUCGACCUGCAGGCGGCCGCGAAUUCACUAGUGAUUCGUAUUACCGCGGCUGCUGGCACAGAGUUAGCCGGUGCUUAUUCUGCGAGUAACGUCCACUCACUUUAGGUAUUAACUAAAGGAGCCUCCUCCUCGCUUAAAGUGCUUUACAACCAAAAGGCCUUCUUCACACACGCGGCAUGGCUGGAUCAGGCUUCCGCCCAUUGUCCAAUAUUCCCCACUGCUGCCUCCCGUAGGAGUCUGGGCCGUGUCUCAGUCCCAGUGUGGCGGAUCAUCCUCUCAGACCCGCUACAGAUCGUCGCCUUGGUAGGCCUUUACCCCACCAACUAGCUAAUCCGACUUAGGCUCAUCUAUUAGCGCAAGGUCCGAAGAUCCCCUGCUUUCCCCCGUAGGGCGUAUGCGGUAUUAGCGUUCCUUUCGGAACGUUGUCCCCCACUAAUAGGCAGAUUCCUAAGCAUUACUCACCCGUCCGCCGCUAGGUUAGUUACCGAAGCAACCUUCCCCGCUCGACUUGCAUGUGUUAAGCCUGCCGCCAGCGUUCAAUCUGAGCCAGGAUCAAACUCUAAUCGAAUUCCCGCGGCCGCCAUGGCGGCCGGGAGCAUGCGAC
RNAcentral lists this ribosomal RNA (623 nucleotides) under uncultured Gammaproteobacteria bacterium. RNAcentral's name for it is "partial 16S ribosomal RNA". The record is from RNAcentral. Lineage: Bacteria; Pseudomonadati; Pseudomonadota; Gammaproteobacteria.